AGACCGAUAGCAAACAAGUACCGUGAGGGAAGAUUGAAAAGAACUUUGAAGAGAGAGUUCAAGAGUACGUGAAACUGUGUGGUGGUAAACGGAGGGGCUCUCGAAGUUUCUGAGGGGGACUCAACCUUGGUGGUGGUCGGCCAGGGCGUAUCUGAUCAGCAAUGACUCUGCGCUUUGUCCCGUCUGCCUCCCGGACGCACUUUCUCCUCAGUUUACGGCAGGAACUGUUUGAAGCGAACCUAAGGCCUGUGGUGAAGUUGUCGGUUAUGCUGGCAGCCCGCGGUGUCCUGGCUUUGCGUCAGACAGGUAUGUAAGCGGACUCGUAUAGCGAGCAAUCGACUGUUGCGGUUCGCAUCUCUCUGCCGAGUAGGUCGGUGGCCCCUCCGACCCGUCUUGAAACACGGAC
Molecule: ribosomal RNA, 406 nt
Filed under: Lucicutia flavicornis
Lineage: Eukaryota; Metazoa; Arthropoda; Copepoda; Calanoida; Lucicutiidae
Description: eukaryotic LSU rRNA
Rfam family: Eukaryotic large subunit ribosomal RNA
Source: RNAcentral